This 275-nucleotide unclassified non-coding RNA is filed under the name Hevea brasiliensis (rubber tree). Lineage: Eukaryota; Viridiplantae; Streptophyta; Magnoliopsida; Malpighiales; Euphorbiaceae. The record is from RNAcentral.
AAUCGAUCGAUCAAAGCGCGUGAACUGCAUGGCAACUGGCUCUAUUGUCUUCGCGCUCCAACUAUUUUCGAAAUCCAUAGAGAGAUGCCGUGUUCAAGAGUGCGCUCAACCUGACUGAUCCCGAUCCCUAUUUUGCCGGAACCGCAGGAUUUGUAGGGAGCACGCUUCUGGACCUGCACAAGGACAUGUGCGCGUUCGAGCUUCCGGAGGCCGUGCCCGAAAGCGUGCGACGGGCGCACAAUGCGGUUCGACACGUCUAUGUCUACGCCUAUUUC